UGGGAGUCGGUGAAAACCUGUCAGCUGGAAAAUGUCCGCGGGUCAGGGCGGAGCGCGAGGGAGAUAUAUAUAUAUAUAAAAUAUAGACAGACGGAGAGACAGAGUGUCAGAAUGAGGGAUUUUACAUCUAUAUAUAUAUAUAUAUCUAGGGAUAGAGAGUCAGUAUGAGGGAGAGAGGCGGGACGGGGCCGAGGUCGGUUUGAGAUGCCCUCGGCUCUGGGCUCACCCACCGUGUGAAGAUGGCCGAGUGUGGGCCGGUGUUUGUGAGGUUUUUGUGCCGGGGGGUGGGGGGAGAUCCAGGAGGGGUUGUCCGAGGCCGCUCCUCCGGUGUCUACUUCAUCCCCGGGGCCGGGAGAAAGAUAUCCCGUCAGCAUUGGAACCGAGGCCCGGUGAACCUGGGUCUGGAGGGCGGUGAGCGGCUCCUGCCUGGGCCUGACUCCUCCCGGUGAUUUAAAACCGAGGAAAUGAGGCUGUGCGGGCCUGGGACUGGGGUGUUCAGCUGCUGGAAGAGGGCCUGACCGCUGAGCCCCCCCGGAUGUGGGGGCGCUGGGCACCAGAGCUUUUGUAUUUAGGCAAAGCCCAGGACCACACUUAGUGCCAGGCUGGGAAAUGGCAGUCAACGUGGUUAUUCUCAGGAGUUGUGUCCACGUGUCUGAAGUCACAUUUUGAAAAUUAGUGUCUUGGCUUUACUGAAAAGGACUUCCCUCUUGUGAUAUAAGCCAAACUUUGGUGCAGAUGUAAAAUCGGAGUCAUUACCUUUAAUGAAAUGAACCCUGAAAAGUCUACUCAUUAUUUUGGUAUUUGCACAGAAAAGCAUGAUGUUUGGAGAAUGUAGGCUUCACUCUCGUAACUUCUCAGGCACUAAACAUCUGUUUCAUGACAAGAGAUUUAUAUCUUGAAGAAACUUAGCAUUUUUGCGUUUUGAUGUGAAUUGCAAUAUAAUUGCAUUCUGGAAAAAUAAUGGAUUUUUAAAGCUAUAAUUUGUAAUAUCAGUUGAAAUAAUGCUCUUUGUUGGAUUCUAUUAUGCCUGCCUGUCUAAAAUAAACUACUGCAAACA
This is a long non-coding RNA of Carcharodon carcharias (great white shark), 1057 nucleotides long. RefSeq lists it as uncharacterized. The transcript is spliced from 3 exons. Lineage: Eukaryota; Metazoa; Chordata; Chondrichthyes; Lamniformes; Lamnidae. The record is from RefSeq and is a predicted model, not a curated record.